Long non-coding RNA from Onychostoma macrolepis, 200 nucleotides. RefSeq lists it as uncharacterized. The transcript is spliced from 3 exons. The record is from RefSeq and is a predicted model, not a curated record. Lineage: Eukaryota; Metazoa; Chordata; Actinopteri; Cypriniformes; Cyprinidae.
GUAUGAACAGAACACAGAUGUACCAACCGAGUCCGAUUCUACAGAGAAUACGGGAAGGGGGAAGCGCAAAAAGAGGCGAGUGAUUUUGUCCAGUGAGGAUGAGGAUGAUGACAAUUGGUCCGGCAGUCAAAUCAGGCCUACACCUCCAUCCACCCUCAGUGCAUCCACCCUCAGAUCUGUGCAGACACCUGCACCGCCUC